UCCGGUUUGUCACCGGCAGUCACGCCAGAGUGCCCGGCAUUACCCGUUGGCAACUGGCAUCGAGGGUUGCGCUCGUUGCGGGACUUAACCCAACAUCUCACGACACGAGCUGACGACAGCCAUGCACCACCUGUCUCCGAGCUCCUUGCGGCACUCCCAACUUUCAUCGGGAUUCUCGGGAUGUCAAGCCUUGGUAAGGUUCUUCGCGUUGCAUCGAAUUAAACCACAUACUCCACCGCUUGUGCGGGCCCCCGUCAAUUCCUUUGAGUUUCAGUCUUGCGACCGUACUCCCCAGGCGGGACACUUAACGCGUUAGCUUCGGCACGGGGGGGGUCGAUACCCCCCACACCUAGUGUCCAUCGUUUACGGCUCGGACUAC
RNAcentral lists this unclassified non-coding RNA (379 nucleotides) under uncultured cyanobacterium. RNAcentral's name for it is "contains 16S-23S intergenic spacer region". The record is from RNAcentral. Lineage: Bacteria; Bacillati; Cyanobacteriota.